CAGGACGAACGCUGGCGGCGUGCUUAACACAUGCAAGUCGAACGAUGAACCACUUCGGUGGGGAUUAGUGGCGAACGGGUGAGUAACACGUGGGCAAUCUGCCCUUCACUCUGGGACAAGCCCUGGAAACGGGGUCUAAUACCGGAUAACACUUCCACUCGCAUGGGUGGAGGUUAAAAGCUCCGGCGGUGAAGGAUGAGCCCGCGGCCUAUCAGCUUGUUGGUGAGGUAAUGGCUCACCAAGGCGACGACGGGUAGCCGGCCUGAGAGGGCGACCGGCCACACUGGGACUGAGACACGGCCCAGACUCCUACGGGAGGCAGCAGUGGGGAAUAUUGCACAAUGGGCGAAAGCCUGAUGCAGCGACGCCGCGUGAGGGAUGACGGCCUUCGGGUUGUAAACCUCUUUCAGCAGGGAAGAAGCGAAAGUGACGGUACCUGCAGAAGAAGCGCCGGCUAACUACGUGCCAGCAGCCGCGGUAAUACGUAGGGCGCAAGCGUUGUCCGGAAUUAUUGGGCGUAAAGAGCUCGUAGGCGGUCUGUCGCGUCGGAUGUGAAAGCCCGGGGCUUAACCCCGGGUCUGCAUUCGAUACGGGCAGACUAGAGUGUGGUAGGGGAGAUCGGAAUUCCUGGUGUAGCGGUGAAAUGCGCAGAUAUCAGGAGGAACACCGGUGGCGAAGGCGGAUCUCUGGGCCAUUACUGACGCUGAGGAGCGAAAGCGUGGGGAGCGAACAGGAUUAGAUACCCUGGUAGUCCACGCCGUAAACGGUGGGAACUAGGUGUUGGCGACAUUCCACGUCGUCGGUGC
Molecule: ribosomal RNA, 806 nt
Filed under: Streptomyces sp.
Lineage: Bacteria; Bacillati; Actinomycetota; Actinomycetes; Kitasatosporales; Streptomycetaceae
Description: bacterial SSU rRNA
Rfam family: Bacterial small subunit ribosomal RNA
Source: RNAcentral